CCUACGGGAGACAGCAGUGGGGAAUAUUGGGCAAUGGGCGCAAGCCUGACCCAGCAACGCCGCGUGAAGGAAGAAGGCUUUCGGGUUGUAAACUUCUUUUUUCAGGGACGAAGCAAGUGACGGUACCUGACGAAUAAGCCACUGCUAACUACGUGCCAGCCGCCGCGGUAAUACGUAGGUGGCACGCGUUAUCCGGAUUUACUGGGUGUAAAGGGCGUGUAGGCGGGGAAGCAAGUCAGAUGUGAAAACCACGGGCUCAACCUGUGGCCUGCAUUUGAAACUGUUUUUCUUGAGUGCUGGGGAGGCAAUCGGAAUUCCGUGUGUAGCGGUGAAAUGCGUAGAUAUACGGAGGAACACCAGUGGCGAAGGCGGAUUGCUGGACAGUAACUGACGCUGAGGCGCGAAAGCGUGGGGAGCAAACAGGAUUAGAUACCCCAGUAGUC
Molecule: ribosomal RNA, 443 nt
Filed under: uncultured bacterium
Lineage: Bacteria
Description: partial 16S ribosomal RNA
Rfam family: Bacterial small subunit ribosomal RNA
Source: RNAcentral